UACGUAGGGGGCUAGCGUUGUCCGGAUUUAUUGGGCGUAAAGAGCGUGUAGGCGGUCUGGCAGGUCUGCUGUGAAAACUCGAGGCUCAACCUCGAGAUGUCGGCGGAAACCAUCUGGCUAGAGUCCGGAAGAGGAGAGUGGAAUUCCUGGUGUAGCGGUGAAAUGCGCAGAUAUCAGGAGGAACACCAAUGGCGAAGGCAGCUCGCUGGGACGGUACUGACGCUGAGGAGCGAAAGCGUGGGGAGCGAACAGG
This 253-nucleotide ribosomal RNA is filed under the name uncultured bacterium. RNAcentral's name for it is "partial 16S ribosomal RNA". It matches the Rfam family "Bacterial small subunit ribosomal RNA", at positions 524 to 776 of the family's 1533-position model. The record is from RNAcentral.